This 253-nucleotide ribosomal RNA is filed under the name uncultured Oscillospira sp. RNAcentral describes it as "partial 16S ribosomal RNA". It matches the Rfam family "Bacterial small subunit ribosomal RNA", at positions 524 to 776 of the family's 1533-position model. The record is from RNAcentral. Lineage: Bacteria; Bacillati; Bacillota; Clostridia; Eubacteriales; Oscillospiraceae.
UACGUAGGGGGCAAGCGUUAUCCGGAUUUACUGGGUGUAAAGGGAGCGUAGGUGGAUUGUUAAGUCAGUUGUGAAAGUUUGCGGCUCAACCGUAAAAUUGCAGUUGAAACUGGCAGUCUUGAGUACCGGAGAGGUCAUCGGAAUUCCUUGUGUAGCGGUGAAAUGCGUAGAUAUAAGGAAGAACACCAGUGGCGAAGGCGGAUGACUGGACGGCAACUGACGGUGAGGCGCGAAAGCGUGGGGAGCAAACAGG